Molecule: ribosomal RNA, 2889 nt
Filed under: Aeromonas sp. FDAARGOS 1415
Lineage: Bacteria; Pseudomonadati; Pseudomonadota; Gammaproteobacteria; Aeromonadales; Aeromonadaceae
Description: 23S ribosomal RNA
Rfam family: Bacterial large subunit ribosomal RNA
Source: RNAcentral
GGUUAAGUGACUAAGCGUACAUGGUGGAUGCCUUGGCAGUCAGAGGCGAUGAAGGACGUACUAACCUGCGAUAAGCCGUGAGCAGUCGGUAAGAGACAUUACGACUCACGGAUUUCCGAAUGGGGAAACCCACUUAGCAUAAGCUAGGUAUCGCUACGUGAAUACAUAGCGUAGCGAGGCGAACCGGGAGAACUGAAACAUCUAAGUACCCCGAGGAAAAGAAAUCAACCGAGAUUCCCUCAGUAGCGGCGAGCGAACGGGGAUUAGCCCUUAAGCAUCUUGGAAGUUAGUGGAACGGUCCUGGAAAGGCCGGCGAUACAGGGUGAUAGCCCCGUACACGAAAACAACCUUGAUGUGAAAUCGAGUAGGGCGGGACACGUGACAUCCUGUCUGAAUAUGGGGGGACCAUCCUCCAAGGCUAAAUACUCCUGACUGACCGAUAGUGAACCAGUACCGUGAGGGAAAGGCGAAAAGAACCCCUGUGAGGGGAGUGAAAUAGAACCUGAAACCGUGUACGUACAAGCAGUGGGAGCCCUUCGGGGUGACUGCGUACCUUUUGUAUAAUGGGUCAGCGACUUACAUUUUGUAGCGAGGUUAACCGUAUAGGGGAGCCGUAGGGAAACCGAGUCUUAACUGGGCGUCUAGUUGCAAGGUGUAGACCCGAAACCGGGUGAUCUAGCCAUGGGCAGGUUGAAGGUUGAGUAACAUCAACUGGAGGACCGAACCCACUAACGUUGCAAAGUUAGGGGAUGACCUGUGGCUGGGGGUGAAAGGCCAAUCAAACUCGGAGAUAGCUGGUUCUCCCCGAAAGCUAUUUAGGUAGCGCCUCGGACGAAUACUACUGGGGGUAGAGCACUGUUUGGGCUAGGGGGUCAUCCCGACUUACCAACCCCAUGCAAACUCCGAAUACCAGUAAGUAAUAUCCGGGAGACACACGGCGGGUGCUAACGUCCGUCGUGAAGAGGGAAACAACCCAGACCGCCGGCUAAGGUCCCAAAGUUCUGGUUAAGUGGGAAACGAUGUGGGAAGGCUCAGACAGCUAGGAUGUUGGCUUAGAAGCAGCCAUCAUUUAAAGAAAGCGUAAUAGCUCACUAGUCGAGUCGGCCUGCGCGGAAGAUGUAACGGGGCUCAAACCAGGCACCGAAGCCGCGGAUUCACGCUAAGCGUGAGUGGUAGGGGAGCGUUCUGUAAGUCUGCGAAGGUGUAUCGAGAGGUAUGCUGGAGAUAUCAGAAGUGCGAAUGCUGACGUAAGUAACGAUAAAGGGGGUGAAAAGCCUCCUCGCCGGAAGACCAAGGGUUCCUGUCCAACGUUAAUCGGGGCAGGGUGAGUCGACCCCUAAGGCGAGGCCGAAAGGCGUAGUCGAUGGGAAGCAGGUUAAUAUUCCUGCACGACUUGUAAUUGCGAUGGGGGGACGGAGAAGGCUAGGUGGGCCAGGCGACGGUUGUCCUGGUGAAAGUGCGUAGGUGGUGUUUCUAGGCAAAUCCGGAGACACAACACUGAGACACGAGACGAACACACUACGGUGUGGAAGCCAUUGAUGCCCUGCUUCCAGGAAAAGCCUCUAAGCUUCAGAUUACAAGUCAUCGUACCCCAAACCGACACAGGUGGUCGGGUAGAGAAUACCAAGGCGCUUGAGAGAACUCGGGUGAAGGAACUAGGCAAAAUAGUACCGUAACUUCGGGAGAAGGUACGCUCUUGUUGGUGAAGUCCCUUGCGGAUGGAGCUGACGGGAGUCGCAGUGACCAGAUGGCUGGGACUGUUUAUCAAAAACACAGCACUCUGCAAACACGAAAGUGGACGUAUAGGGUGUGACACCUGCCCGGUGCCGGAAGGUUAAUUGAUGGGGUUAGCGCAAGCGAAGCUCUUGAUCGAAGCCCCGGUAAACGGCGGCCGUAACUAUAACGGUCCUAAGGUAGCGAAAUUCCUUGUCGGGUAAGUUCCGACCUGCACGAAUGGUGUAACCAUGGCCAUGCUGUCUCCACCCGAGACUCAGUGAAAUCGAAUUCGCCGUGAAGAUGCGGUGUACCCGCGGCUAGACGGAAAGACCCCGUGAACCUUUACUACAGCUUGGCACUGAACAUUGAACCUACAUGUGUAGGAUAGGUGGGAGGCUUUGAAGGCGUGACGCCAGUUGCGCUGGAGCCGUCCUUGAAAUACCACCCUUGUAUGUUUGAUGUUCUAACGCAGGGCCCUGAAUCGGGCUCGCGGACAGUGCCUGGUGGGUAGUUUGACUGGGGCGGUCUCCUCCCAAAGAGUAACGGAGGAGCACGAAGGUUGGCUAAUCCUGGUCGGACAUCAGGAGGUUAGUGCAAUGGCAUAAGCCAGCUUAACUGCGAGACGGACAGGUCGAGCAGGUACGAAAGUAGGUCAUAGUGAUCCGGUGGUUCUGAAUGGAAGGGCCAUCGCUCAACGGAUAAAAGGUACUCCGGGGAUAACAGGCUGAUACCGCCCAAGAGUUCAUAUCGACGGCGGUGUUUGGCACCUCGAUGUCGGCUCAUCACAUCCUGGGGCUGAAGUCGGUCCCAAGGGUAUGGCUGUUCGCCAUUUAAAGUGGUACGCGAGCUGGGUUCAGAACGUCGUGAGACAGUUCGGUCCCUAUCUGCCGUGGGCGUUGGAUGAUUGAAGGGAGUUGCUCCUAGUACGAGAGGACCGGAGUGAACGAACCUCUGGUGUUCGGGUUGUCACGCCAGUGGCACUGCCCGGUAGCUAAGUUCGGAAUCGAUAACCGCUGAAAGCAUCUAAGCGGGAAGCGAGCCCUGAGAUGAGUCAUCCCUGACCCCUUGAGGGUCCUAAAGGGCCGUUGGAGACCACAACGUUGAUAGGUGGGGUGUGUAAGCGCGGCGACGUGUUGAGCUAACCCAUACUAAUUACCCGUGAGGCUUAACCAU